UACGUAGGUGGCGAGCGUUGUCCGGAUUUACUGGGCGUAAAGAGCGCGCAGGCGGUCGUUCAAGUCGCGUGUGAAAGCCCCCGGCUCAACUGGGGAGGGUCACGCGAUACUGAUCGACUCGAAGGCAGGAGAGGGAAGUGGAAUUCCCGGUGUAGUGGUGAAAUGCGUAGAGAUGUGGAGGAACACCAGUGGCGAAGGCGGCUUUCUGGUCUGUAACUGACGCUGAGGCGCGAAAGCGUGGGGAGCGAACAGG
RNAcentral lists this ribosomal RNA (253 nucleotides) under uncultured bacterium. Its description in RNAcentral is "partial 16S ribosomal RNA". It matches the Rfam family "Bacterial small subunit ribosomal RNA", at positions 524 to 776 of the family's 1533-position model. The record is from RNAcentral.